CCUACGGGUGGCUGCAGUGAGGAAUAUUGGUCAAUGGACGAGAGUCUGAACCAGCCAAGUAGCGUGAAGGAUGACUGCCCUAUGGGUUGUAAACUUCUUUUAUAUGGGAAUAAAACGUUCCACGUGUGGGAUUUUGUAUGUACCCUAUGAAUAAGGAUCGGCUAACUCCGUGCCAGCAGCCGCGGUAAUACGGAGGAUCCGAGCGUUAUCCGGAUUUAUUGGGUUUAAAGGGAGCGUAGGCGGAUUGUUAAGUUAGUUGUGAAAGUUUGCGGCUCAACCGUAAAAUUGCAGUUGAAACGGGCAGUCUUGAGUACAGUAGAGGUAGGCGGAAUUCGUGGUGUAGCGGUGAAAUGCUUAGAUAUCACGAAGAACUCCGAUUGCGAAGGCAGUUCACUGGACUUCAACUGACACUGAGGCUCGAAAGUGUGGGUAUCAAACAGGAUUAGAUACCCCUGUAGUC
Molecule: ribosomal RNA, 460 nt
Filed under: uncultured bacterium
Lineage: Bacteria
Description: partial 16S ribosomal RNA
Rfam family: Bacterial small subunit ribosomal RNA
Source: RNAcentral